Molecule: signal recognition particle RNA, 264 nt
Filed under: Planctomycetota bacterium
Lineage: Bacteria; Pseudomonadati; Planctomycetota
Description: Planctomycetes bacterium signal recognition particle sRNA large type
Rfam family: Bacterial large signal recognition particle RNA
About the family: The signal recognition particle (SRP) is a universally conserved ribonucleoprotein involved in the co-translational targeting of proteins to membranes. Archaeal SRP consists of a 7S RNA and homologues of the eukaryotic SRP19 and SRP54 proteins.
Source: RNAcentral
UCGUGCUAGGCGGGGAGCUAGCGGUUCCCUCACCCCGCAAGCCGCUAUAGCGGGGCGGAACUCCCUCUCGCGGCCUGGCGCUGCUCAAACCGGCCUGGACCGAGCAGUAUUGAUGAUCGGGUCCUGCGCGGCAGCGACCUCCGAACCCCGUCAGGUCCGGAAGGAAGCAGCGGUAAGGGGUAGUCUCUGGGUGCCGCAGGGCAACCUGGUCUGAGCGGCUCGGCCCUGGUACGUUGAGCAGCAGGGUCAGAAGAGGGUGCACGA